This 202-nucleotide long non-coding RNA is filed under the name Elaeis guineensis (African oil palm). RNAcentral's name for it is "long non-coding RNA (EGUI_LNC018171)". The record is from RNAcentral. Lineage: Eukaryota; Viridiplantae; Streptophyta; Magnoliopsida; Arecales; Arecaceae.
AUCUUGUAAGAAAGGUGCUUAGGUCUCUACUAAGAACAUAGGAGGUGAAGAUCAUGAUGAUUCAAGAGGCAAAAGACCUAAAUAUCUUAUCUUUGGAGGGACUUCUUGGAUCACUUAUAAGACAUGAACUCACCAUGAGAUAGCACAACGAAGAAGAGACCAAGAAAAAGAAGACUAUUGCUCUCAAGUCCACUGCUCAAGA